UAUGCCAGGGACUUUCGAAAACGUCUUAUUGAACGUUGAAUCAUUUUUCAUAAAUAAAAAAAAAAUUAUGAAAAAUAUUCAUCUCAUCUGUAAAGUUUUACUUGACAAUAUUUAGCCCUGAUUGUCACAUGCAAUGAUCAUAUAAUUUGUCACCUACUAAUCACUGGAUUGAUUUGAGAAAUAUAAUGAAUCACGCAUUUGACAACACGGUUUCAUAUUUCCUUGUGGAUCUUUGCACUGAUGGCUAUUUAGCCAUCGACCCGCUAGUGGGAUAAGACGAGGGUUACGCAUACCUAACUGCACAUUCUUUUCGAAUUUUAUUUUUUUAGUCUACGUAUAAGUACACUUACACUCACACGGUAAUUUUAAUAAAAAAAAUUCAAAAGUAAUGUGGAAAAAUAAUCAAAUAACGAUGUUGAAAAUAUAAAAAAAAUACCAACACAAAAAUCUACCUUACCGACUGAUGGUAAAUAGUUUUUAGAAAAAUGAAAAUGUAAAAAAUUACCGAUAUACAAAUCUACCUUGCCGACUGAUAAAAAAGAACUUUUCUUUCAAAUGAAAAUAUAAAAAAUUACUUGCAUAGAAAUCUACCUUACCGACCGAUGGUAAUUACCAUCUGCCGGUAAAGAAGAUUUACGUGUCGGUAAUUUUUUAUAUUUGAAUUUCCAAAAAAAAAAUUCUUUACCAUCAGUCGGUAAGAUAGAUUUCUGCGUCGGUAAACUAUAUAUCUACAUUUUUCAAAAAAAAAUUCUUUUCCAUCAGUCGGUAAGAUAGAUUUCUAGAUCGGUAACUUUUUGUUUUCAUUUUUAAAAAUUUUUUACCAUCCUAUUAAUUUUUUAACCAUCUACAAUUUGGGUUUAUAUAAAUAAUUAUUGUCUGUUUUAAUAAAGUAAAUUAAAAUUAUUCUCUGCCUACAAUGAAAUUUUAUCGUUAUAUUGAAAUCUAAUAAAAAAGGAUUUUUAUUUUAAAUUGUAUAAAAUAAUUUUUUUAUAAUGCUUAUUUUUUUGGUGAGUGUUAAAAAAGUGUGCUUAUUCUGACCAAUAAAAUAAAUUUCAAAAAGUUUGCGGCAUGUUUUGUUUUGCUAUUUACAAACUCCCUGGCUGCCUCUUUAAUGGUAAAUCUGAAGAUAAGCUAUAUAUUUGCUGGUAUUAAGAUUUAUCCUUAAAGUUGCUUUAGGGCCUCAAGAAAGAAAAGGAUCUGGAUCUGGACCACGGAGCUGUAAAGGACCUAUCAUCAAUAUCGAAGUAGCAGUGAAGCCAUGGAAGCACAAUGUGGCACCUGCUGCUUAUAAAAAGGUAAACCGAUCUCUUUCCCCUGGUCAUUGUGCUCACCUCAAAGAUCGAAAGAAGAGGUUCGAAAAUUUUUCAAGGGGAUGGUCUCAGGACUCUCAGUUUCAGUGAUCGCAAAAGAUACACACAGUACAAACACAUUGUAUGUAUGAGUAUAUAUAUAUAUGUAUAUACUUAUAGGCCAGAAGAGUUUGCAAAAAGAAUAUAACAAAAAAACUUGAGAAAAAUCUUGGAGAGAAAAGACGCAGAAGCUUAAAAUGGAAUCGAUAGUACCUCAGAAAAGAAAUCUACCUUGAUUUUGUUUGCGGAAAAAAAUAAAUUCUUUGAAAAUGGUGGAAAAUAUACAAAAAAAAAAAAAAAUUUUUUUCAACAUGAAUGAAAAUGAAAAAAAAAGGAGAGACAUCCGGUGGAAGAAAAGGAAGUUAGAACGACAGACUGUAAUGAAAAAUGGAGAAACUACCAAGAUGCCAAAUAAAACGAAAAAGUUGAAGGAAAAUAAAAAGACUCCGGAAUCGAUGGAGGUUGAGAGAGAAAAAAAGAAAAAAAAAGUCACUAGGGAAAAAUGUCUCUUCCUUCAUCCCAGGAUCUUCUAAAAUUUUAAUGUUCUUAAAAUAUUUUUUCAACUCUUUUAAAAAAAAUUUGAUAUUUUUAUUUGCCAAAAAAUAUAAGCAUAAAAACGAAA
This is a long non-coding RNA of Leptopilina boulardi, 1971 nucleotides long. RefSeq lists it as uncharacterized. The transcript is spliced from 5 exons. The record is from RefSeq and is a predicted model, not a curated record. Lineage: Eukaryota; Metazoa; Arthropoda; Insecta; Hymenoptera; Figitidae.